RNAcentral lists this long non-coding RNA (715 nucleotides) under Macaca mulatta (Rhesus monkey). Its description in RNAcentral is "lncRNA (ENSMMUG00000063194.1)". Lineage: Eukaryota; Metazoa; Chordata; Mammalia; Primates; Cercopithecidae. The record is from RNAcentral.
AAAAUAGUGGGGAAAUUGUUGAUUUGUUAUGCUCUGUCUCACAGUUAAGAAUUUCACCAGGCCGGGCGCGGUGGCUCACGCCUGUAAUCCCAGCACUUUGGAAGGCUGAGGUGGGCGUAUCAUGAGGUUAAGAGAUCGAAAACAUCCUGGCCAAAAUGGUGAAACCCUGUCUCUACUAAAAAUACAAAAAUUAGCUGGGCAUGGUGGCACACGCCUAUAGUCCCAGCUACUCGGGAGGCUGAGGCAGGAGAAUCGCUUGAACCUGUUAGCCAGAGAUUGCAGUGAGAUGAGAUCACGCCAUUGCACUCCAGCCUGGGAGACAGAGCCAGACUCCGUUGCAAAAAAAAAAAAAAAAGAAUUUCACAUUGUGUUUUUGAAUCUCACUGUAGCCUCUGUGAUUUGUUUUGUUUUAUAGCUGAUGGGAAAGUGAAACGUAUUAAACUAGUGCAUGCAGCUAUACCUGUUACAGGAGAGACAGUAGAUAUCAGAGACUUGGACAACGUACUAGGAAACAUGGGGAUGAACUUACCAAAGAAGAACUUGGAGAGCUGACAAGAAACCUUCCAGUUGAUGGUAACUCAGUUUAGAUAUAAAAAAAUUCUUCAUAAGAGGUUGAGGGUUUACAUAUGAGUAUUCUAAAACCAGUUUAAUUUCGUGUUAAAAAAAAAAACCUUGCAACAUCUCAGAAAGAUUCAGUUUCAGAGCAAGAACAAAG